RNAcentral lists this ribosomal RNA (494 nucleotides) under uncultured bacterium. RNAcentral describes it as "partial 16S ribosomal RNA". It matches the Rfam family "Bacterial small subunit ribosomal RNA", at positions 29 to 507 of the family's 1533-position model. The record is from RNAcentral.
ACGAACGCUGGCGGCGUGCCUAAUACAUGCACGUAGCACGCUGAAGGAGGAGCUUGCUCUUCUGGAUGAGUUGCGAACGGGUGAGUAACGCGUAGGUAACCUGCCUGGUAGCGGGGGAUAACUAUUGGAAACGAUAGCUAAUACCGCAUAACAGUAGAUGUUGCAUGACAUUUACUUAAAAGGUGCAAUUGCAUCACUACCAGAUGGACCUGCGUUGUAUUAGCUAGUUGGUGGGGUAACGGCUCACCAAGGCGACGAUACAUAGCCGACCUGAGAGGGUGAUCGGCCACACUGGGACUGAGACACGGCCCAGACUCCUACGGGAGGCAGCAGUAGGGAAUCUUCGGCAAUGGACGGAAGUCUGACCGAGCAACGCCGCGUGAGUGAAGAAGGGUUUCGGAUCGUAAAGCUCUGUUGUAAGAGAAGAACGAGUGUGAGAGUGGAAAGUUCACACUGUGACGGUAUCUUACCAGAAAGGGACGGCUAACUACGUG